CAGGCCUAACACAUGCAAGUCGAGCGGCAGCACAAGUAAGUUUACUAUGAGGUGGCGAGCGGCGGACGGGUGAGUAAUGCCUAGGGAUCUGCCCAGUCGAGGGGGAUAACAGUUGGAAACGACUGCUAAUACCGCAUACGCCCUACGGGGGAAAGAGGGGGACCUUCGGGCCUCUCGCGAUUGGAUGAACCUAGGUGGGAUUAGCUAGUUGGUGAGGUAAUGGCUCACCANGGCGACGAUCCCUAGCUGUUCUGAGAGGAUGAUCAGCCACACUGGGACUGAGACACGGCCCAGACUCCUACGGGAGGCAGCAGUGGGGAAUAUUGCACAAUGGGGGAAACCCUGAUGCAGCCAUGCCGCGUGUGUGAAGAAGGCCUUCGGGUUGUAAAGCACUUUCAGUAGGGAGGAAAGGGUGAGUCUUAAUACGGCUCAUCUGUGACGUUACCUACAGAAGAAGGACCGGCUAACUCCGUGCCAGCAGCCGCGGUAAUACGGAGGGUCCGAGCGUUAAUCGGAAUUACUGGGCGUAAAGCGUGCGCAGGCGGUUUGUUAAGCGAGAUGUGAAAGCCCUGGGCUCAACCUAGGAAUAGCAUUUCGAACUGGCGAACUAGAGUCUUGUAGAGGGGGGUAGAAUUCCAGGUGUAGCGGUGAAAUGCGUAGAGAUCUGGAGGAAUACCGGUGGCGAAGGCGGCCCCCUGGACAAAGACUAC
This 710-nucleotide ribosomal RNA is filed under the name Shewanella putrefaciens. Its description in RNAcentral is "bacterial SSU rRNA". It matches the Rfam family "Bacterial small subunit ribosomal RNA", at positions 43 to 743 of the family's 1533-position model. Lineage: Bacteria; Pseudomonadati; Pseudomonadota; Gammaproteobacteria; Alteromonadales; Shewanellaceae. The record is from RNAcentral.